Molecule: transfer RNA, 82 nt
Filed under: Candidatus Gottesmanbacteria bacterium
Lineage: Bacteria; Candidatus Gottesmaniibacteriota
Description: tRNA-Leu
Rfam family: tRNA
About the family: Transfer RNA (tRNA) molecules are approximately 80 nucleotides in length.
Source: RNAcentral
GCCGAAGUGGCGGAAUUGGCAGACGCGCAGGAUUUAGGAUCCUGUCCCGUAAGGGGUGGAGGUUCAAGUCCUCUCUUCGGCA